Molecule: non-coding RNA, 21 nt
Filed under: Caenorhabditis elegans
Lineage: Eukaryota; Metazoa; Nematoda; Chromadorea; Rhabditida; Rhabditidae
Source: RNAcentral
UGGUAUCUUCACGGGUAUUCU